UACAGAGGGGGCAAGCGUUGUUCGGAAUUACUGGGCGUAAAGGGCGCGUAGGCGGCCUGUUAAGUCGAACGUGAAAUCCCCGGGCUCAACCCGGGAACUGCGUCCGAUACUGGCAGGCUUGAAUCCGGGAGAGGGAUGUGGAAUUCCAGGUGUAGCGGUGAAAUGCGUAGAUAUCUGGAGGAACACCGGUGGCGAAGGCGGCAUCCUGGACCGGUAUUGACGCUGAUGCGCGAAAGCCAGGGGAGCAAACGGG
This 253-nucleotide ribosomal RNA is filed under the name uncultured bacterium. RNAcentral describes it as "partial 16S ribosomal RNA". It matches the Rfam family "Bacterial small subunit ribosomal RNA", at positions 524 to 776 of the family's 1533-position model. The record is from RNAcentral.